This 253-nucleotide ribosomal RNA is filed under the name uncultured bacterium. Its description in RNAcentral is "partial 16S ribosomal RNA". It matches the Rfam family "Bacterial small subunit ribosomal RNA", at positions 524 to 776 of the family's 1533-position model. The record is from RNAcentral.
UACGUAGGGUGCGAGCGUUGUCCGGAAUUAUUGGGCGUAAAGGGCUCGUAGGCGGUUUGUCGCGUCGGGAGUGAAAACACUGGGCUUAACUCAGUGCUGGCUUUCGAUACGGGCAGACUAGAGGUAUGCAGGGGAGAACGGAAUUCCUGGUGUAGCGGUGAAAUGCGCAGAUAUCAGGAGGAACACCGGUGGCGAAGGCGGAUCUCUGGGCCAUUACUGACGCUGAGGAGCGAAAGCGUGGGGAGCGAACAGG